This 239-nucleotide ribosomal RNA is filed under the name Francisella tularensis subsp. holarctica. RNAcentral's name for it is "partial 23S ribosomal RNA". It matches the Rfam family "Bacterial large subunit ribosomal RNA", at positions 1714 to 1937 of the family's 2925-position model. Lineage: Bacteria; Pseudomonadati; Pseudomonadota; Gammaproteobacteria; Thiotrichales; Francisellaceae. The record is from RNAcentral.
UAGGCAAAAUGACACCGUAACUUUGGAAGAAGGUGUGCCCUUUAUUGUGAUGAGACUUGCUAUUUGAGCUGUUGGGGGUUGCAGAUACCAGGUGGCUGCGACUGUUUAUCAAAAACACAGCACUCUGCGAAAUAGUAAGAUGAAGUAUAGGGUGUGACGCCUGCCCGGUGCUGGAAUGUUAAUUUAAGGGGUUAGCGCAAGCGAAGCUCUGGAUCGAAGCCCCAGUAAACGGCGGCCGU